UUGCCCUCCAUAGCUGAUGGAACUGAAGCUCUGAUGGUGAUGACCGGAGACAGAGAGAGGGGGUGUUCUGAUGGGGAAAGGAAGAAUGAAUGGCCCCGUGGAUGUGGAGGGGGCCUUCUUAUAUAUUGAUGGAUGCAAAGCUAGAGGAUGAAGUCAACCUUCUCAUGGAGUACUGCUUGUUGUUGGGAAUGGAAGUUCCCCCCAUGUCAUUUUCAUACCCAUAAAUUAAUAUCAGUAGCUUUGAUCAAGAUUCUGCUC
Punica granatum (pomegranate) is the source of this 258-nucleotide non-coding RNA. Lineage: Eukaryota; Viridiplantae; Streptophyta; Magnoliopsida; Myrtales; Lythraceae. The record is from RefSeq and is a predicted model, not a curated record.